Molecule: non-coding RNA, 1158 nt
Organism: Paramuricea clavata
Lineage: Eukaryota; Metazoa; Cnidaria; Anthozoa; Malacalcyonacea; Plexauridae
Source: the annotation of a GenBank genome assembly
UAACACGCAUUUCGCGCAGUAAAAUAUAAUGUCUCUACAGCUUGUAAAUUGUAAUCAUGUUUGACAUAGGCAUUGUUCUAUAAAAGUAAAAAGCUGAGCUGAAACAUAAUAUAAACUAAGUAAAAAUAUAAAAGUGAAAAUAUAAAAGUGAAAAUAUAAAAGUGAAAAGAUAAAAGUGAAAAGAUAAAAGUUAAAAGUGAAAAUAUAAAAGUGAAAAUAUAAAAGUGAAAAUAUAAAAGUGAAAAUAUAAAAGUGAAAAUAUAAAAGUGAAAAUAUAAAAGUGAAAAUAUAAAAGUGAAAAUAUAAAAGUGAAAAUAUAAAAGUGAAAAUAUAAAAGUGAAAAUAUAAAAGUUGAAGUUAGAGAUGAGCGUCUAAGCAGGAAGACCACCUGGGGCUAUGGUAUGUGAGACUGUAGAUAAAAGGCGGGCGGACGACGGACGACGGACGACGGAGCAUUUUAUAAACACAUGAUUACUACCGCAACUAAUUAUAAUACCCUAUAAAUUAAAGUACACCAGCCUUAGAUCUGUGAAAUGAAUAUGUUUUCACCCGUUCGAAUUUUUAGCCAUGGAAUUUAAUUUAAUCCGCAUUCAAUAUGUAUGUAUGAUAGGAGGCUAUUCGCCGUCUUUCGCGUGAAACGUUUGGAAAUAUUGUAGCAAAGCGCCUUAGUUUUGGUGCUUCUGUAUAUAACUGCGCUAACACUGCCAUUGAAUUAAAUUCAGUUACAUUCACUUGCUGUCAUUUUCAUAGUUUACAUUGCGCUGACCUAGCCUCCUCCGCAGGCAUCGCCUUUCGAUUAUCGGGCAAAGCGCUGACCUAUAAUCCCCGUUUUACUUACCAAAAGGCUAACACGUGCCAAGGUCCAUUCAUGUGAGUGCUUAUACACAUCACUAUUCCACUGUGUAUAAAUGUAGAACGAAAUUAUAACCUUCCCUAAGCCUUUCAAAUACAUUUAAAAUACUCAUGUCAGCCAUAAUAUGUCACGUGAAGUGACUUUAUAUCUGAUAAAACUCAUUUUCAUUAGCAUUCUUUAUGGGUAUGGCUAAAGGGAGAGUAGUACCAACCGGAGAGUAAUCUCGGAGAGAUAUGAUUUCGGAGAUUUAUGUUCGAACCACGCCCACUUUUCCCAACGACCACACCCAACUUCUUAACUCUCCC